GGUGAUCGGCCACACUGGAACUGAGACACGGUCCAGACUCCUACGGGAGGCAGCAGUAGGGAAUCUUCCGCAAUGGGCGAAAGCCUGACGGAGCAACGCCGCGUGAGUGAUGAAGGUCUUCGGAUCGUAAAACUCUGUUAUCAGGGAAGAACAAAUGUGUAAGUAACUGUGCACAUCUUGACGGUACCUGAUCAGAAAGCCACGGCUAACUACGUGCCAGCAGCCGCGGUAAUACGUAGGUGGCAAGCGUUAUCCGGAAUUAUUGGGCGUAAAGCGCGCGUAGGCGGUUUUUUAAGUCUGAUGUGAAAGCCCACGGCUCAACCGUGGAGGGUCAUUGGAAACUGGAAAACUUGAGUGCAGAAGAGGAAAGUGGAAUUCCAUGUGUAGCGGUGAAAUGCGCAGAGAUAUGGAGGAACACCAGUGGCGAAGGCGACUUUCUGGUCUGUAACUGACGCUGAUGUGCGAAAGCGUGGGGAUCAAACAGGAUUAGAUACCCUGGUAGUCCACGCCGUAAACGAUGAGUGCUAAGUGUUAGGGGG
Molecule: ribosomal RNA, 539 nt
Filed under: Staphylococcus sp. 101
Lineage: Bacteria; Bacillati; Bacillota; Bacilli; Caryophanales; Staphylococcaceae
Description: bacterial SSU rRNA
Rfam family: Bacterial small subunit ribosomal RNA
Source: RNAcentral